AGAGCGGCGCACGGGUGCGUAACGCGUAUGCAACCUACCUUUUACUGGGGGAUAGCCCGGAGAAAUCUGGAUUAAUACCCCAUGGUACCAAAUGGUUGAAUGACUGAAUGGUUAAAGAUUUAUCGGUAAGAGAUGGGCAUGCGUCUGAUUAGCUAGUUGGCGGGGUAACGGCCCACCAAGGCGACGAUCAGUAGGGGUUCUGAGAGGAAGGUCCCCCACACUGGCACUGAGAUACGGGCCAGACUCCUACGGGAGGCAGCAGUAGGGAAUAUUGGGCAAUGGUCGCAAGACUGACCCAGCCAUGCCGCGUGCAGGAAGACGGCCCUCUGGGUUGUAAACUGCUUUUAUCUGGGAAGAAAAAGGCCAUGCGUGGAAAAUUGCCGGUACCAGAUGAAUAAGCACCGGCUAACUCCGUGCCAGCAGCCGCGGUAAUACGGAGGGUGCAAGCGUUGUCCGGAUUUAUUGGGUUUAAAGGGUGCGUAGGCGGCUGAAUAAGUCAGCGGUGAAAGACUUCGGCUUAACCGGAGC
RNAcentral lists this ribosomal RNA (528 nucleotides) under uncultured Algoriphagus sp. RNAcentral's name for it is "bacterial SSU rRNA". It matches the Rfam family "Bacterial small subunit ribosomal RNA", at positions 92 to 619 of the family's 1533-position model. The record is from RNAcentral. Lineage: Bacteria; Pseudomonadati; Bacteroidota; Cytophagia; Cytophagales; Cyclobacteriaceae.